Sceloporus undulatus (fence lizard) is the source of this 654-nucleotide long non-coding RNA. RefSeq lists it as uncharacterized. The transcript is spliced from 2 exons. The record is from RefSeq and is a predicted model, not a curated record. NCBI's taxonomy places the organism in Eukaryota, Metazoa, Chordata, Lepidosauria, Squamata, Phrynosomatidae.
UGGGAGGUGUCACAGGUUCACAACAUGUCACUGAUGGUUCACUAGAGCAUAGGUCUAUUUCAGUGAACAUUCAGACUGUAAAUGUCAUGUUAGCACUCAUUUAACAAUUAAAAAAAGAAAUAGCAAGUAAAGUUUGAUUGAUAUUUUAUCUGGCCCUUUUAUGCUAGUGAUGUUCUCCUUUCUCUAUUCAGAAUUCACCUUGAUUGAAAAAUAGAACUAAAACCUGUAGCCAUUUAAAAAGCUGACAAGUCAAACAGAUGGGGCUGUUUCAAUUGGUCCAGCAUGUAAUGGACUUUGAUACCACCGUGUUCUUGACAAGCAGCGAAAGCAAGUAUGCGAUGCGUAUGGCACUAGCAGAGUUCAUCAUACAACCAGAAAUCUUCAUUCUACAAAGAUGUCACCGCGUGGAAUUUAUUGUCAUGGUCAACACACAGCUGAAGUGAUAGAUCUGGAUUUGGAAUGAUCUAGGUAUGAGUCCCCACCAAGCAACCUUGGGUCAGUCUCUCUAUCCUUCUGUUCUUGGGCUGCCCUACCUCGCAGAGCUGUUGUGAGGAGAAAGUGAGAAGCAGAAACAUCAUGGCCUUUACCUGGAGCUCCUUGGAGAGAAGCUGACACAACUGUGACUAACAUAAAUAAAAACAUGAUUGAAUCUUA